UGUGACAAAAUUAUGUGGUUAGAGUAAGUUGUUUAUUUUAUUAAAUGUGUGUGCUGAAAUUAUGUGUGUCUCUGUGUGUUGAUUUGUUUUAUUUUUUAUUUCUUCUAAAUUAAGAAGAUAAAAAGGAAAUGAAAACGAGUUAUCAUAUUUUGGCAUAAGAUGACAAGGCUGAUAUUUUUUAUUGUGUUUACAUGUAGAUAAGGUUUAGGUGAGGUGUAAGGAGAGGAAAUGGUGGGAUUUAGCUUAUUUUGUGUGAUAUGAUUUGAGCUUUUCACACUUGAGUUUUUCCUUAGGGUUAGGUCACUAGAGUAUUAUAAAUAGAAGACAUGUGAGCCUUGGAGAACCAUUUUGGUGGCUGCCAAAUUAUUGAGAGAAAGAGGGAGGAGAGCACGAAAAAAAGAGAAAGAAAAAGAAAGAAAGAAAGAAUGAGGGAAAUAAGGAGAAGAGGAAAGGGGUUUCAAGAAUCUCUAGGUGUAUUUUGAAAUCCCCAGGGUCCUAAUGAUUAAUUUUCUUUGUGUUCUUGAGAACUACCACAGAGAUAAACACUAGGUGGACUUGUUUGGCACGCAUGAUGAGCUGAGUAAGUUUUCCAUAAUUAUGUAUAUAUGCUACAAAGAGCCAUUGAACAAGAAAAAAAUAUGGAACGCCAUAGUACCUUAAUGUCUUUCGUUAUGUAAAUUUAUCAGUGGGAUGUACUUAUUUAUUUUUAACACUGCAUCAAAUUCUGUUUUGUUUUGAACAUUUGAUCCAAACUCUGCAUUUGUUUUAAGUAAAGACCCAUUGUAUUUCCAGCCAGAUUACAAAAUCAUGAAGUU
This is a long non-coding RNA of Humulus lupulus (European hop), 815 nucleotides long. RefSeq lists it as uncharacterized. The record is from RefSeq and is a predicted model, not a curated record. NCBI's taxonomy places the organism in Eukaryota, Viridiplantae, Streptophyta, Magnoliopsida, Rosales, Cannabaceae. The transcript has 3 exons.